RNAcentral lists this ribosomal RNA (253 nucleotides) under uncultured prokaryote. Its description in RNAcentral is "partial 16S ribosomal RNA". It matches the Rfam family "Bacterial small subunit ribosomal RNA", at positions 525 to 777 of the family's 1533-position model. The record is from RNAcentral.
ACAGAGGGGGCAAGCGUUGUUCGGAAUUACUGGGCGUAAAGGGCGCGUAGGCGGCCUGCUAAGUCGAACGUGAAAUCCCUGGGCUCAACCCAGGAACUGCGUCCGAUACUGGUUGGCUUGAAUCCGGGAGAGGGAUGUGGAAUUCCAGGUGUAGCGGUGAAAUGCGUAGAUAUCGGGAGGAACACCAGUGGCGAAGGCGGCUCUCUGGGCAGAUACUGACGCUGAGACGCGAAAGCAUGGGGAGCAAACAGGA